This 303-nucleotide long non-coding RNA is filed under the name Setaria viridis. Its description in RNAcentral is "long non-coding RNA (SVIR_LNC010724)". Lineage: Eukaryota; Viridiplantae; Streptophyta; Magnoliopsida; Poales; Poaceae. The record is from RNAcentral.
GCACGUGUUCGAGAGUAGCUAAAGCUAGAUGUAAAACAAAACUCAAGUCUGGAAAUAAACAUAGACUCUAUCUAAAUAGAGGAGAGGAGGGGGCGCAGCCCCUAGUGGCCAAGAGGGGGCGUGCGACCAGGAAGGGCACGCGACAAGGAGGGGGGGCGUGCAUGCCCCUGGCGCCCAACCCUAGGCGCCCACACAUGGGCCUCCUGUUGGGCCAGCUUCUAUUCUUCUAGGCCUUCAUUCUUUAGUAGCAUGACGAAGGUCAAUUCUCUUACACGGGCCCGGGUAAUUGGCCCAGAAGGUGGC